GAUGAACGCUGGCGGCGUGCUUAACACAUGCAAGUCGAACGGAAAGGCUCCUGCUUGCCGGGGUACUCGAGUGGCGAACGGGUGAGUAACACGUGGGUGAUCUGCCCUGCACUUCGGGAUAAGCCUGGGAAACUGGGUCUAAUACCGGAUAGGACCACAUUUUGGAUGGUGUGGUGGAAAGUUUUUCGGUGUGGGAUGAGCUCGCGGCCUAUCAGCUUGUUGGUGGGGUAAUGGCCUACCAAGGCGUCGACGGGUAGCCGGCCUGAGAGGGUGUACGGCCACAUUGGGACUGAGAUACGGCCCAGACUCCGACGGGAGGCAGAAGUGGGGAAUAUUGCACAAAGGGAGAAAGCCUGAUGCAGCGACGCCGCGUGGGGGAUGACGGCCUUCGGGUUGUAAACACCUUUCGCUAGGGACGAAGCGUUUUUGUGACGGUACCUGGAGAAGAAGCACCGGCUAACUACGUG
Molecule: ribosomal RNA, 467 nt
Filed under: uncultured bacterium
Lineage: Bacteria
Description: partial 16S ribosomal RNA
Rfam family: Bacterial small subunit ribosomal RNA
Source: RNAcentral